This 293-nucleotide unclassified non-coding RNA is filed under the name uncultured fungus. RNAcentral's name for it is "sequence contains 5.8S rRNA gene". Lineage: Eukaryota; Fungi. The record is from RNAcentral.
GAACGCAUAUUGCACUCCUUUGGGAGUAUGCCUGUUUGAGAAUCUAUAGUAACUUUUUUUUCUCGUAGUGAAUUUUUUACUAGAGAAAAAGAUUUGGCGAGUCUCUAGGAUAGAGUGCGCUUAAAGCUAUAGCUAGUCGCCGAAAGAGCGCCAAAGCAAAAAUGUUUGAAACUCUUUGAGUAACCUACACAAUGUUUUGGGGAAACGUUCCUAGGUAAUUAGCCCAAAAAGGAUUCUUUAUUGAAACCUAGGAGGUUAAUUAUUAACCCGAACCAUGGUCUCAAAUCAGGUAG